RNAcentral lists this long non-coding RNA (1443 nucleotides) under Macaca mulatta (Rhesus monkey). RNAcentral describes it as "lncRNA (ENSMMUG00000064157.1)". The record is from RNAcentral. Lineage: Eukaryota; Metazoa; Chordata; Mammalia; Primates; Cercopithecidae.
AUGGUUAAUUAUUGUAUCUAUUUGGGGUCUAUAGUUGCUAGUUUAAUACAAAAAACAUCUCUGGGUAAAAUUUUCAUUCCUUUAGGUUUUCUUCACUGUAUACUAAUUUCCUUUAAAAAUAAUCCUGUUUUUUUAGAUUUGAGAAAGUCCAUCCAUGGGAGCAGGACAAAGAGAAAGAAUCUGAUCAUCCCUAAGAGGUUUCAAGACUGGUGCCUGUUUUCACAACUCAUUAUUCCUGAGGGAAUUCUUUAGGAAAAAAAGUUGACAGGAGAUGAUUCACACUAGAUGUAAAUAUGUGUACAGAACGCAGUGGUACAGAGAGUAUAACAUCUGAAAUCAGAAAAGGUAACUCCACCAUUUGCUUGCACUGUUAUGUUUUAAAAAGCUAACCCAUAUUCAGUGUUUUCACCUAUAAAAUGGAGAUAAUGGAGAUAAUUACACAAAAACAUUAGAAAUAUUGCAAAGGUUCAUUGAAAUGAGGAAUACUAAUUGCCUAAUGUGACCCUGGCAUAUAAUGGAUAAUAUGUAAAACAAACAAACAAACAAAAAGCAUGUGGUUUCUUUCUUCCCUAAACAGCCAGCCAAAGUGCUGAUGUCCUGCCAAUCACAUCAGCAGGUCAUUUCACACAGAUCUUCAUAGCUUGUUCUUCUACUUGGCCAAAGGCUCAUCUAACUCUACUAAAAACAUUGCUUUUCUUUAAAAGUCUUUCCCCUCUUACUGCUAUCUCUCUCCUGCCAGCAUCUUAUCAUUCCAGGAAAGCUGAAGGCCCACAGGCUGCCCAAAUAACUACAUGUGUUUGCCUUGAGUGAAACACUAGAUUGAUGACUCCAAUACUUCACUCACUGUGCAUCUAUACUCUUUGCCAUGGUUGGGGUGAUGUCCCCUUUACUCUGGUUUGGCAGUGGGGCUGCCUUUGGCCAAUGGAUGUUAGCAGAGUUGACACUAGAAGAGGCUUGAAAAGUACUUGUUUAUUACCACCUUUGCCCUCUCAUGCCAUGAUGACCACCAUGAGAACAAACACAGGUGGGCCUUCUGAGGAUAAAAGGGACAUGAAGGAGAGCUGAGUCACCCCAGGUACCCUCGCUAAGCCCAAUCUAAAUUGCUAACCUAAAGACCUAUAAGCUAGCUAAUAUUUAUCAUUCUAAGCUGCUGAGUUUUCUGGGAUUUGUUAUCCAACACUACUUUGGCUGUAAAUAACUGGUAAACUCUGUCAAAGAUGAGCAUGUUGUCAACUGCCAUCAGGGGCCUGCAGAAAUUAUUUCUGCUGAGAGAAUUAAUUACAAGUUUUAAAAUUGAAAACACCUAUACACUGUGGGUAGGAGUGUAAAUUCGUUGAAAUCAUUGUGAAAGAUAGUGUGGCUAUUCCUCAAGGACCUAAAACAGAAUACCAUUUGACCUAGCAACCCCAUUACUGGGUAUAUACCCAAAGGAAUGUAAAUCAU